Molecule: long non-coding RNA, 232 nt
Filed under: Ananas comosus (pineapple)
Lineage: Eukaryota; Viridiplantae; Streptophyta; Magnoliopsida; Poales; Bromeliaceae
Description: long non-coding RNA (ACOM_LNC014837)
Source: RNAcentral
CAUGCUUAUAUCAUAGGGGCCCCAUUUGGGAUUGACGGUCAUCCAACAAUAUUAGCGCAAAAGUAUAUAAAAAUAUGAUUCUUCGUAUUUCAUUGAAACCGCGGAAGAUAUCCGCAAACAAACAGCAUCUUUUUCUAGUCGUCUUUUCCCACUGCAUGUAACACAAUCUAACUGUAAUUCCAAAUAGAGCAUUAGACACUCUAUAUCCCCUUGCUUUUUAAAAUUUUCUUUC